This 463-nucleotide ribosomal RNA is filed under the name uncultured bacterium. Its description in RNAcentral is "SSU rRNA". It matches the Rfam family "Bacterial small subunit ribosomal RNA", at positions 26 to 518 of the family's 1533-position model. The record is from RNAcentral.
AGGAUUAACGCUGGCGGCGUGCCUAACACAUGCAAGUCGAACGAGGUAGCAAUACCUAGUGGCAGACGGGUGAGUAACGCGUGGUCAACCUACCGUUGAGUGGGGGAUAACUAGCCGAAAGGUUAGCUAAUACCGCAUACGAGUCUUGGGGGCAUCCCUGGGACUUAAAAGGAGCAAUCCGCUCGAUGACGGGACCGCGUCCCAUUAGCUAGAUGGUGGGGUAACGGCCUACCAUGGCACCGAUGGGUAGCUGGUUUGAGAGAGCGACCAGCCACACUGGGACUGAGAAACGGCCCAGACUCCUACGGGAGGCAGCAGUGAGGAAUUUUCCGCAAUGGGCGAAAGCCUGACGGAGCGACGCCGCGUGUGGGAAGAAGGCCUUCGGGUCGUAAACCACUGUCGAAGGGGACGAUAAUGACGGUACCCUUGGAGGAAGCCCGGCUAACUACGUGCCAGCAGCCGC